Long non-coding RNA from Arachis duranensis, 890 nucleotides. RefSeq lists it as uncharacterized. The transcript has 5 exons. The record is from RefSeq and is a predicted model, not a curated record. NCBI's taxonomy places the organism in Eukaryota, Viridiplantae, Streptophyta, Magnoliopsida, Fabales, Fabaceae.
AAUAAUAAUAAUAAUAAUAAUAGGAACCCUGGCCCCAAUCAACAGAAUCAGAUCGCAGAAUCCCAUACGUUCGUUCAUACAUUCCGAGAGAGAUAUGGCUUGUGCUGGAGAUAAAAGAGUUAGGGAUGUGGACGAUAAACCGAAUUACAUUGUGAGAAUAACUUCCUCUGAUGAAGAUGAUGACGACGAUUACGAUUCGAUUGAAUACGUUUCCUCUCCUAGGAAGCCGACUGAGGAAGAAAUUUUUGACUAUUACAGACAGGCCUUCAGCAGUAAGGGAUUCGAUGUUCCAGAGACUGGAUGCUUAUUAGCUGGCGGAAUUGGACCCUAUCGGAUAAUAAAUGAGACACGUGAGCAACGUGUGACCGAUAUGGCUAAGCAAGCUUUGCAAGUCUAUAAUGACGAAAAUAAUGCGCGUUUUGAGUUUGAUCACCUUGUCAAGGCUAAUAGCCAAGCUGUUGCUGGCCUUAUGUUUUACAUUACUUUUAUGGCACGCUCGGGAGAUAAUGCGUCUCAAACCUUUUAUGCCACAGUGUGGAAAAAAAUAUGUAAUCAGGGAACAGAAGUCCAGAGUUGUGUGAUGGAAACUGAGCAGGAAACUGGUACAUCUCAGGUGUAAGUUUUGGAGAUGAGUCUAGGGUCCCUGUUCUAGUUGUGUUUAUGGUUUGUUGCUUCUCUGAUGCUAUUAUAUAAUUUUAAUACUUAUAAAAGAGUCUAGGGCUCUGCUCUAGUUGUGUUUUUUGGUUUGUUCCUUCAAGAAAGAAAACUCUCAGAUACUAUUAUAUAAUUUUAAUACUUGUGAAAUAGUACCAUGUUAAUUGACCAUUGUUUCCAGAAUUUGUGGGGAUUUUUAUUUAUUUAUUGUACUCAGUUCUGAGUUCUUAAUAUUA